This 1525-nucleotide ribosomal RNA is filed under the name marine sediment metagenome. RNAcentral's name for it is "bacterial LSU rRNA". It matches the Rfam family "Bacterial large subunit ribosomal RNA", at positions 445 to 1986 of the family's 2925-position model. The record is from RNAcentral.
UGCCAGGACCAUCUGGUAAGGCUAAAUACUCCUGAGAGACCGAUAGUGAACUAGUACCGUGAGGGAAAGGUGAAAAGCACCCCGAACAGGGGAGUGAAAUAGUACCUGAAACCUUGCGCUUACAAACGGUCGGAGCGAUGAUUUAUCAUUGUGACGGCGUGCCUUUUGCAUAAUGAGCCUACGAGUUACUCUUCACUAGCAAGGUUAAGACUUUAAGGGUCGGAGCCGAAGCGAAAGCAAGUCUGAAUAGGGCGAAUAAGUUAGUGGAGGUAGACGCGAAACUUGGUGAUCUACCCUUGGCCAGGUUGAAGUUCCGGUAACACGGGAUGGAGGACCGAACCAGUUGACGUUGAAAAGUCUUUGGAUGAGCUGAGGGUAGGGGUGAAAGGCCAAUCAAACCAAGAAAUAGCUCGUACUCCCCGAAAUGCAUUUAGGUGCAGCCUCAUAUUAGUUUCACAGAGGUAGAGCUACUGAUAAGGCUAGAGGGCUUCGCCGCCUAUCAACCCUUGACAAACUCCGAAUGCUGUGAAAUGAUUUAUGGGAGUGAGGCUAUGGGUGCUAAGGUCCAUAGCCAAAAGGGAAAGAACCCGGACCAUCAGCUAAGGUCCCCAAAUGUAUAAACGAGGUGCGACUGCUUAGACAGCUAGGAUGUUGGCUUGGAAGCAGCCAUUCAUUUAAAGAGUGCGUAACAGCUCACUAGUCGAGCGGUUGUGCGUGGAUGAUACUCGGGCAUAAAUAUACUACCGAAGCUAUGGGUUUGCGAUUUAUCGCAAGCGGUAGGGGAGCAUUCCAGUCAGCUUUGAAGGCGUAUCGUAAGGUACUCUGGAGCGUCUGGAAAAGAAAAUGUAGGCAUAAGUAACGAUAAAGGGGGUGAGAAACCCCCUCACCGAUAGACUAAGGUUUCCUGAUCAACGCUAAUCGGAUCAGGGUUAGUCGGGACCUAAGGGAAAGCCGAGAGGCGUAACCGAUGGACAACUGGUUAAUAUUCCAGUACCACCAAAUAUUGCGAUGGGGUGACGGAGCAGUGACAAGACCGCGUACUGACGGAAUAGUACGUUAAAGGGUGUAGGUAUACAGAUGGGUUAAUAGCUCGACUGUGCUGAACCUGAUAGUACCACAAGCCUUCGGGCGAGUGGAUAGUGUCUGUAAUCAUACUUCCAAGAAAAACCUCUAAGCUUCAGAUAUAUGGUGCCCGUACCUCAAACCGACACAGGUAGUCAAGGAGAGAAUCCUGAGGUGCUCGAGUGAUUCGUGGCUAAGGAACUAGGCAAAAUAGUCCUGUAACUUCGGGAGAAAGGACGCCUGCUUCGGCAGGCCGCAGAGAAAUGGCCCAAGCGACUGUUUAUCAAAAACACAAGGCUUUGCGAAAUCGAAAGAUGAAGUAUAAGGCCUGACACCUGCCCGGUGCCGGAAGGUUAAGAGGGGAUGUUAUCUUCGGAGAAGCAUUGAAUCGAAGCCCCGGUAAACGGCGGCCGUAACUAUAACGGUCCUAAGGUAGCGAAAUUCCUUGUCGGGUAAGUUCCGA